This 72-nucleotide transfer RNA is filed under the name Myotis davidii. It matches the Rfam family "tRNA". From Rfam's summary of the family: Transfer RNA (tRNA) molecules are approximately 80 nucleotides in length. Their secondary structure includes four short double-helical elements and three loops (D, anti-codon, and T loops). Further hydrogen bonds mediate the characteristic L-shaped molecular structure. tRNAs have two regions of fundamental functional importance: the anti-codon, which is responsible for specific mRNA codon recognition, and the 3' end, to which the tRNAs corresponding amino acid is attached (by aminoacyl-tRNA synthetases). tRNAs cope with the degeneracy of the genetic code in two manners: having more than one tRNA (with a specific anti-codon) for a particular amino acid; and 'wobble' base-pairing, i.e. permitting non-standard base-pairing at the 3rd anti-codon position. Lineage: Eukaryota; Metazoa; Chordata; Mammalia; Chiroptera; Vespertilionidae. The record is from Rfam by way of RNAcentral.
GCCAGCAUGGCUUAGUGGUUGAGCGUUGGCCCCAUGAACCAGGAGGUCAGGGUUCGAGUCCCGGUCAGGGCA